CCAAACUAUCAACAACUCAAACAAAAAAUGAACAAUAUUAUGCCAAUCACUUCAGCCAGCUACCUUUAUGGCACCAAUCUCAUCAAUUUUUGAGCUCUUAUGCUUACUUUUUUUGUGCUUGUGAACGUCAUUAAUAUCUUCAUCUCCAUCAUGCUUUCUUUUCUUUUCAUGGUGUUUCUUAGAGUGAUCACCACCAGAAUCGUGAUGUCCACUCCUCUCCUUCUUCUUCUCCUUAUCUUUAUCUUUACUUCGAUCUUUAUCUUUAUGACGGUGUUUGUGCUUCUUAUGCUCUUUAUCCUUCUCCUUAUCUUUAUCUUUGUGCUUUUUAUGCUUCCUCUCUUUGUCUUUGGACUCACUUUUUGAUUUCGCUGCAAUUGUAGGAGUCCCCUUCUCUGCAUGAGGCAAAUCUAUAGAAGUGGUUUCCUUAAAUUGGAAGGCCUCUCUGAGCACAUCUAGGUCAAAUGGCUGUAUGCGUGUAUUGCUAUCUCUGGAAUAGGGAAUAUUCUGGAUAAGCUGAUCCAAUUGCAUGCCUUCUCCUUUUCUGAUUUCAGUGUCUCCCACCACAUUGUAAAGAUAAUGAGUGUCAGAAAUUGACAAAGGAAGUGAUCGCUUGCAGAAGAACUCAUGGUGGGGCAACAACUUGUAAUGACUUAUAAGAUC
Molecule: unclassified non-coding RNA, 660 nt
Filed under: Hevea brasiliensis (rubber tree)
Lineage: Eukaryota; Viridiplantae; Streptophyta; Magnoliopsida; Malpighiales; Euphorbiaceae
Source: RNAcentral